This 1153-nucleotide ribosomal RNA is filed under the name Salmonella enterica. RNAcentral's name for it is "partial 23S ribosomal RNA". It matches the Rfam family "Bacterial large subunit ribosomal RNA", at positions 711 to 1772 of the family's 2925-position model. Lineage: Bacteria; Pseudomonadati; Pseudomonadota; Gammaproteobacteria; Enterobacterales; Enterobacteriaceae. RNAcentral also lists the same sequence under 1 other name. The record is from RNAcentral.
AGACCCGAAACCCGGUGAUCUAGCCAUGGGCAGGUUGAAGGUUGGGUAACACUAACUGGAGGACCGAACCGACUAAUGUUGAAAAAUUAGCGGAUGACCUGUGGCUGGGGGUGAAAGGCCAAUCAAACCGGGAGAUAGCUGGUUCUCCCCGAAAGCUAUUUAGGUAGCGCCUCGUGAAUUCAUCUCCGGGGGUAGAGCACUGUUUCGGCUAGGGGGCCAUCCCGGCUUACCAACCCGAUGCAAACUGCGAAUACCGGAGAAUGUUAUCACGGGAGACACACGGCGGGUGCUAACGUCCGUCGUGAAGAGGGAAACAACCCAGACCGCCAGCUAAGGUCCCAAAGUCAUGGUUAAGUGGGAAACGAUGUGGGAAGGCCCAGACAGCCAGGAUGUUGGCUUAGAAGCAGCCAUCAUUUAAAGAAAGCGUAAUAGCUCACUGGUCGAGUCGGCCUGCGCGGAAGAUGUAACGGGGCUAAACCAUGCACCGAAGCUGCGGCAGCGAACGUAUCACUUAAAGCGAUUCAGCGGGUUACGAUUGACGGAGCGAAGCGACGUCAAAGCGUAUACAAAGUCGAGUCGGUUUAAGGAUACGUUCGUUGGGUAGGGGAGCGUUCUGUAAGCCUGUGAAGGUGGCCUGUGAGGGUUGCUGGAGGUAUCAGAAGUGCGAAUGCUGACAUAAGUAACGAUAAAGCGGGUGAAAAGCCCGCUCGCCGGAAGACCAAGGGUUCCUGUCCAACGUUAAUCGGGGCAGGGUGAGUCGACCCCUAAGGCGAGGCCGAAAGGCGUAGUCGAUGGGAAACGGGUUAAUAUUCCCGUACUUGGUGUUACUGCGAAGGGGGGACGGAGAAGGCUAUGUUGGCCGGGCGACGGUUGUCCCGGUUUAAGCGUGUAGGUGUGUGUUCCAGGUAAAUCCGGUUCACUUUAACACUGAGGCGUGAUGACGAGGCACUACGGUGCUGAAGUAACAAAUGCCCUGCUUCCAGGAAAAGCCUCUAAGCAUCAGGUAACAUCAAAUCGUACCCCAAACCGACACAGGUGGUCAGGUAGAGAAUACCAAGGCGCUUGAGAGAACUCGGGUGAAGGAACUAGGCAAAAUGGUGCCGUAACUUCGGGAGAAGGCACGCUGACACGUAGGUGAAGUGAUUUACUCACG